UACGGAGGGUGCAAGCGUUCUCCGGAUUCACUGGGUUUAAAGGGUGCGUAGGUGGGUUGGUAAGUCAGUGGUGAAAUCCCCGAGCUUAACUUGGGAACUGCCAUUGAUACUAUCAGUCUUGAAUAUUGUGGAGGUUAGCGGAAUAUGUCAUGUAGCGGUGAAAUGCUUAGAUAUGACAUAGAACACCAAUUGCGAAGGCAGCUGGCUACGCAUAUAUUGACACUGAGGCACGAAAGCGUGGGGAUCAAACAGG
Molecule: ribosomal RNA, 253 nt
Filed under: uncultured bacterium
Lineage: Bacteria
Description: partial 16S ribosomal RNA
Rfam family: Bacterial small subunit ribosomal RNA
Source: RNAcentral